UACGUAGGGUGCGAGCGUUGUCCGGAUUUAUUGGGCGUAAAGGGCUCGUAGGCGGCCUGUCGCGUCGGGAGUGAAAGCCCACUGCUUAACGGUGGGUCUGCUUUCGGUACGGGCGGGCUAGAGUAUGGCAGGGGAGACUGGAAUUCCCGGUGUAGCGGUGAAAUGCGCAGAUAUCGGGAGGAACACCGGUGGCGAAGGCGGUUCUCUGGGCCUGUACUGACGCUGAGGAGCGAAAGCGUGGGGAGCGAACAGG
This 253-nucleotide ribosomal RNA is filed under the name uncultured bacterium. RNAcentral describes it as "partial 16S ribosomal RNA". It matches the Rfam family "Bacterial small subunit ribosomal RNA", at positions 524 to 776 of the family's 1533-position model. The record is from RNAcentral.